UAGAGUUUUGAUCCUGGCUCAGGAUGAACGCUGGCGGCGUGCCUAAUACAUGCAAGUCGAGCGAACAGAUGAGAAGCUUGCUUCUCUGAUGUUAGCGGCGGACGGGUGAGUAACACGUGGGUAACCUACCUAUAAGACUGGGAUAACUCCGGGAAACCGGGGCUAAUACCGGAUAAUAUAUUGAACCGCAUGGUUCAAUGUUGAAAGACGGUUUCGGCUGUCACUUAUAGAUGGACCCGCGCCGUAUUAGCUAGUUGGUAAGGUAACGGCUUACCAAGGCAACGAUACGUAGCCGACCUGAGAGGGUGAUCGGCCACACUGGAACUGAGACACGGUCCAGACUCCUACGGGAGGCAGCAGUAGGGAAUCUUCCGCAAUGGGCGAAAGCCUGACGGAGCAACGCCGCGUGAGUGAUGAAGGUCUUAGGAUCGUAAAACUCUGUUGUUAGGGAAGAACAAAUUUGUUAGUAACUGAACAAGUNCUUGACGGUACCUAACCAGAAAGCCACGGNCUAACUNAC
This 520-nucleotide ribosomal RNA is filed under the name Mammaliicoccus lentus. RNAcentral describes it as "bacterial SSU rRNA". It matches the Rfam family "Bacterial small subunit ribosomal RNA", at positions 1 to 505 of the family's 1533-position model. The record is from RNAcentral. Lineage: Bacteria; Bacillati; Bacillota; Bacilli; Caryophanales; Staphylococcaceae.